RNAcentral lists this transfer RNA (73 nucleotides) under Microvirga sp. VF16. RNAcentral describes it as "tRNA-Asn". It matches the Rfam family "tRNA". Rfam says of the family: Transfer RNA (tRNA) molecules are approximately 80 nucleotides in length. Their secondary structure includes four short double-helical elements and three loops (D, anti-codon, and T loops). Lineage: Bacteria; Pseudomonadati; Pseudomonadota; Alphaproteobacteria; Hyphomicrobiales; Methylobacteriaceae. The record is from RNAcentral.
UCUCCGAUAGCGCAGCUGUAGAGCUCUCGACUGUUAAUCGAGCGCCGUUGGUUCGAAUCCAACUCGGGAGCCA